Molecule: long non-coding RNA, 501 nt
Organism: Spinacia oleracea (spinach)
Lineage: Eukaryota; Viridiplantae; Streptophyta; Magnoliopsida; Caryophyllales; Amaranthaceae
Exons: 3
Source: RefSeq, a predicted model, not a curated record
UCCCUUCCUCCCUCCUCUUUCUCCUCCUCCUCGUGCAUCCCUUCUCCCCUCCCCUGUUCCGCACCCUGCUCCCAGAAAACCAAAACCAAAUUUUGGUUUUCUUUGGUUUUACUCUCCUUUAAAAACCCACAAUUAAAUUGGGCCAUCUUAUUUGGGCUUUUGGAAACUGGACUCGGAGCUCAGGACGAACGAACCAACGAAAACCCUUAGCAAAUCGCGGAAGUGAGGUACUGAUGGGGACGAUGGACACGAGUAGUGGCGAGGAAUUUCACGUUAAUAAUAUUCACCUAGUUUAUGCUUAAAGUUUUAAUAGUUUUAAUUAAAGACUUUUAGUAAGUUAUGUACUUUUAUUUUGAUAAUAUAAAGGAUUAUUAUAUAUAUUUUGGAGUAUUUAAUGGCUUAUGAUUGAUGUUUGCCUUGUAAUUUCCAAAAAGGAAGUUACGGCAGGUAAUGCCCUGACCAAUUAGGUUAAUUCCGCUGCUAAUUAUGCUUUAAUAAUUG